This 485-nucleotide ribosomal RNA is filed under the name uncultured Lactobacillus sp. Its description in RNAcentral is "bacterial SSU rRNA". It matches the Rfam family "Bacterial small subunit ribosomal RNA", at positions 49 to 507 of the family's 1533-position model. Lineage: Bacteria; Bacillati; Bacillota; Bacilli; Lactobacillales; Lactobacillaceae. The record is from RNAcentral.
UCGAGCGAGCUUGCCUAGAUGAUUUUAGUGCUUGCACUAAAUGAAACUAGAUACAAGCGAGCGGCGGACGGGUGAGUAACACGUGGGUAACCUGCCCAAGAGACUGGGAUAACACCUGGAAACAGAUGCUAAUACCGGAUAACAACACUAGACGCAUGUCUAGAGUUUGAAAGAUGGUUCUGCUAUCACUCUUGGAUGGACCUGCGGUGCAUUAGCUAGUUGGUAAGGUAACGGCUUACCAAGGCAAUGAUGCAUAGCCGAGUUGAGAGACUGAUCGGCCACAUUGGGACUGAGACACGGCCCAAACUCCUACGGGAGGCAGCAGUAGGGAAUCUUCCACAAUGGACGAAAGUCUGAUGGAGCAACGCCGCGUGAGUGAAGAAGGGUUUCGGCUCGUAAAGCUCUGUUGGUAGUGAAGAAAGAUAGAGGUAGUAACUGGCCUUUAUUUGACGGUAAUUACUUAGAAAGUCACGGCUAACUACGUG